CUGAAGACCUUGGGGACGAGGUUGGCUCCUUCGGGCCAAAAGCGAUUUCACAAGAGAGUUUGUAUUGCGGUCUUGAAGAAAAAUCCUUUCUACAAAACCGCUUUAAAAGAUAUGGGGAAAUCAUUCAUUGCCACACGGGAGGACUUUAUUGUACUUCGUACAGGGGGCAAUUUGGGAUGAACAGGGCGCAAAAGAGGCACGGAUCAAGGUCGGCAGCCUAGUAGAGGUACCACUGUAUACGCGUAUGAGAAAGGUUUCCACAAACUGAAACCAAAGAGCAGUUUGCGGUAGUACUUUCAAGUUCUACUCGUUUCGCGAUAAUCAGCGAAAAUACACAUGCAAUUUGCCACUUUUUUUCGCUAUCUAAUAGGCGACGGGCACUAGCAGAUCACGUGACUUUCUUGGGGGUGGGGGGCAAACUAUCGCGUGCUCAACCUUUUGGCGGCAAAAUAACAUCAACAAAACACAAGUUAUUUAGUCCUUACAAAUAAGCCAGAACGAUUCUCUUCAAAAGGGUUUACUUUUUUAAAGGUUUUUAUUUCUCUGGCGUGUCGAACGCAUCCCAUUCUGAGUUUAUUUUGGCUUGAAUUUGUCGAAAAGUCCCGUGAUCAGUUUAGUGAAGUCGCCUGUUACCUGACUAUUUUGACUAUUUUUUGUAAUUGCGAUAGCAUGAAGGAUUGGAACCCCGUUCCAAGAACACCCAGAAACAUUCCUUAUUACCACCUUUCCGCCUUCGUAGAGCCGGGUAAUAUUUUCAGAAAUUAUGGCGGUUUCAAGACCCUUUUAUGUGUGAAUAAACGCGGGUGUGCUUAAAGCGGGCUUCAUGUUCUCCUUAAUCAAUUCCCCCUUCUAAAGUCUAUAGGCCUGUUAAAAUCGCCUUCAUAGGAAUACCUAUUAACAACUAUUAUUGACCACUAUCCUAAAAGUUACAAUGCUAUUAAGGUGAUUCCAUCACUUGUCACACAGAGCUCACGUAAACGGUUCGAACAUUUAGUAUUUUCUCCAGAGCUUUGCGGUGUGGAUUUUCGUAGCCGUGCCCAGGGAUGAAUGCACGGCUUGCUCUCUUAGAAGCUCCGACUUUUCAUUGAUACAUGCAGUACGAACUUCUAAAUCAACAACACCACAAAACUCGGGAAUAAUCUCAACUUUGUUCAAUCCGUAAAUGUGAGUUCCCUAUGAUAGAGUUUUAACUUGAAAAAUUAAAAGUUGGGUAUAAUGCACGCAAAUGAUUUUGAAUAGUUCUCUCCAAAGGACCUGCUAUAACAGGAUAAACAUAAAAUGCUUAGAUCUUUAUCAGUACAUAAUCGUUUGAAUACCUCAAAAGAAAGGAAAACCGUUGAAAGAAAUUACUGAAACAUUUUGGGAACUUGAAAUCAGUUCGAGUUAUUGUGGAGCUCAAGUUAUCUGACUUCGAUAUAUUGGGGUUGUGGUUAUUUGAAAGAUAUAGAAAUCGAGGGAAUCACCUUAAACAACUUUCCGAAAAUCUUAUUUGUACAAUAUUUGCAGUUUACAGGCGUUUAUUAUUGUAAUAACUUCCCCCGUUAUACUGGUGCGGAAAGCACAACAGAGCUAGGCUCCAAAUCCAGUAACCCAGUGUGUGUAUUAUAUAUGUAAGCACUCGGGGUCGUCAACGCCAGAGGGGUUAUUGCGUCCCUAAUGCUUUUUUUACGUUCCUUCGACUCAGGCUUUAGUAUAGUGCAGCUUGAAGAGACGGAACCCUUAGUGACCUUAUCCGAAAGACACGGGGAAUAACUUCAACUCGCUUUUGAGAAACACGGAUCAAGUCAUGGACUCGGAAAAAUCCCCAUUCACAGCCAGGAUUCGAACCUAGGCCACAGCGUUAUGGACGGACCCGCUAACACCCUGGGCCGUCUGUGCUUCUAUGACACGAUUAGUUUUCAUACCGUAUUUUUGAAUAAAAAAUGUUAAAGUAACACA
Molecule: long non-coding RNA, 1938 nt
Organism: Nematostella vectensis (starlet sea anemone)
Lineage: Eukaryota; Metazoa; Cnidaria; Anthozoa; Actiniaria; Edwardsiidae
Exons: 2
Source: RefSeq, a predicted model, not a curated record